GAUGAACGCUGGCGGCGUGCCUAAUACAUGCAAGUCGAGCGAACGGACGAGAAGCUUGCUUCUCUGACGUUUGCGGCGGACGGGUGAGUAACACGUGUAUAACCUACCUAUCAGACUGGGAUAACUUCGGGAAACCGUAGCUAAUACCGGAUAAUAUUUUGAACCGCAUGGUUCAAAAGUGAAAGUCGGUCUUGCUGUCACUACUAGCUGGAUCCGCGCUUCAUUAGCUAGUUGUUAAGGUAACGGCUUUCCAAGGCAACGAUGCAUAGCCGACCUGAGAGGGUGAUAGGCCACCCGAGAACUGGGACGCCGUCCAGGCUCCUAAGGGAGGGCGCAGGAGGGAAUCUUACGCAAUGGGGGGAAACCUGGCGGAACGACCGCGCGUGAGUGGUAGAAGUCCUCCGAUCGUGAAAACCUGUUUUUGGGGGAAAACAUAUGUGGAAGGUAACGAGGACAUAUUGACGGUACCUAAUCAGAAAGCCACGGCUAACUACGUG
This 497-nucleotide ribosomal RNA is filed under the name uncultured bacterium. RNAcentral's name for it is "partial 16S ribosomal RNA". It matches the Rfam family "Bacterial small subunit ribosomal RNA", at positions 28 to 507 of the family's 1533-position model. The record is from RNAcentral.